AACGAACGCUGGCGGCAGGCCUAACACAUGCAAGUCGAGCGCCCCGACAGGGGAGCGGCGGCCGGGUGAGUAACGCGUGGGAACGUACCCUUUGCUACGUAAUCGCCUCGGGAAACUGGGAGAAAUUCCGUAUGUGUCCUUUGGGAGCAAGAUUUAUCGGCAAGGGAUCGGCUCGCGUUGGAUUACGUAGUUGGUGGGGUGAUGGCCUACCAAGCCGACGAUCCAUAGCUGGUUUGAGAGGAUGAUCAGCCACACUGUGAGUGAGACAGGGCCCAGACACCUACGGGAGGGAGCAGUGGGGAAUCGGAGACAAUGGGCGCAAGCCUGGACUAGCCAUGCCGCGUGAGCGAUGAAGGCCUUAGGGUUGUAAAGCUCUUUCAGGGGGGAAGAUAAUGACUGUAACCCCAGAAGAAGGCCCGGCUAACUCCGUG
RNAcentral lists this ribosomal RNA (431 nucleotides) under uncultured bacterium. RNAcentral describes it as "partial 16S ribosomal RNA". It matches the Rfam family "Bacterial small subunit ribosomal RNA", at positions 29 to 507 of the family's 1533-position model. The record is from RNAcentral.